Non-coding RNA from Cherax quadricarinatus, 7111 nucleotides. NCBI's taxonomy places the organism in Eukaryota, Metazoa, Arthropoda, Malacostraca, Decapoda, Parastacidae. The record is from RefSeq and is a predicted model, not a curated record.
GUUGAUGGGGUCGUGGCUGGUAGAGGAGUGACUAGUGGCGCCACUAUUCUUGACCUCUAUGGCUAAAUGGCGCCACUGACCUGGAAGAGGGGGAUGACGUCAGGUUGUGGAGAGGGGGAAGGGUCGGGGGUGAGUAGUUAGCUGUUACUGGUGGGAGGGUGAUGGGGAAUGAGGUAGGGGGAUGGUUCACUUGGUAAUUACCAAGGGACUAACACAGUCUUGUUACUGUGUGUUAACGUGGCUUGAACCUUGAUAUUUGAAACGCCCUGGACACUAGCUCCACAUACUCGUAAUCCUAUGAACAAUGUCUAUGGACUCGUGUUGAAAACAAGUCUCCUUGAUGUUGGGCUUACGUAUUUGAUAUCUUUUGUUGGUUUAGUGCCUAGUCUUGAUCAGGGCCGGAUUUAGACCUUGCUGACGCUGGAGAAGAAGCUUCCAGCAGAAAAGUUAUGUGGAGAAGCAGCACAGAGUAUCAGAAGUAACAACGUAGCACAUAAACGAACCUGUCCAGAGACCUCUAGAACCGGAUAUACUUCCUGAGACAUAGUGACAAGUCAAGGCAACACCUCCCAGCAGAAUUAAGUUCCCGGCUGCACGUGAUCUUGAAGGGGAAGUCCAGAGGGGCUAAGGCUUAGGGAGGUUGAAGACUGGGAUAUAUUCUCCAACACCAAUGACAUGUUGCGAUGGAACCAGAUGUCCAACUGUGAGUGUGAUAGACUUGGUAACUAGGAAAGUAAAUCUUUCCUAUGUAUACCACUUUUCCUUCACUUAAUGACCAGUCACCAAGUCUCGUCCCAUCAUCCUUCGUGUCUCCUCUAAUCACGUCUGGUAAUAGUUGGAAGAUGGAAUCAAGUCUCCAGCAUGGAGACUUGAUUCCAUCUUCAGGAUCACAGUACAGGUUGAAUGUCUCUCUUCUUCGAGAAUCACUGUCUGGACUGGGAUUAUUCAUCUCGGACUAAGCUACAUCCAGCAGUGGACCUUCCCAUGCGCACGUCUACUACCAACACUGUCUUUUGUGCUACCGUCCAUAGGAUGGAUAUGGGGUGCACAGUAAACUAGCCACUUCGGUGGCAAAAUCAAACACUAAAUCUAAUCAUUGUCCAACUAGCACCUCCCCAUCUUCAGGUGUUCUCUCUUCAGUACAACACUUGGUAUGAUAGCAUUUGUGUUGAGUGUUUAUGCUCAUUACUUUGUUGAUGUUAUCCCAAAUUGUGUUAUAACUGUUUUUACGGCUAUGAGUGCUGAGUAACUAGGCAGUCAAACUGCUCUGUAUUCAUCUGAGAUCAAUGGAGAAUAAUAAUAGUUAUAAAAAUAACCAUAAUUUUUAAAGGGGUGGAAGGGUAAGCUAGCGGAAGGCCUCGGUCAGAUGAUCAAAAGCUCCAGCAGUGGAUCAUCAUAUGACUAAGACCCGUGUCAGGAAACUCGUCCUGUUUCCUGACGAACUUUACUUAACCUAACCUAGAGAGAAAUAUAUUUGGAAAUAGCCACGUUAUACCCUGGUAUGCUGUACUGUACCUGGCUUGGACAAAUAUUAAAAUAUAAUCGUUCUAAUGAGAAUUUACUGUUGUGGCGGAACACACAGUAACAACUAAUAGUUAAUGGGAGAGAUGUUACUAUGGGUUCUAUGAACCACACCCAUGAGUACCCCCAUUAAAGUUAUGAUUCACACCCAUGAAUACCCCAGUUAAAGUAACUACUGUUCCUUAGUUCAAGAGUAGUUUACCAGCAGAAAGUUUCCCUUCCCAGUACUUGUAUUAAAAGGUCAGGUUUUCUCCUGGUUUAUUAUUAUUUAUUUUUUUUAUUAUCACACUGGCCGAUUCCCACCAAGGCAGGGUGGCCCGAAAAAGAAAAACUUUCACCAUCAUUCACUCCAUCACUGUCUUGCCAGAAGGGUGCUUUACACUACAGUUUUUAAACUGCAACAUUAACACCCCUCCUUCAGAGUGCAGGUACUGUACUUCCCAUCUCCAGGACUCAAGUCCGGCCUGCCGGUUUCCCUUAAUUCCUUCAUAAAUGUUACCUUGCUCACACUCCAACAGCAUGUCAAGUAUUAAAAACCAUGUCUCCAUUCACUCCUAUCAAACACGCUCACGCAUGCCUGCUGGAAGUCCAAGCCCCUCGCACACAAAACCUCCUUUACCCCCUCCCUCCAACCUUUCCUAGGCCGACCCCUACCCCGCCUUCCUUCCACUACAGACUGAUACACUCUUGAAGUUAUUCUGUUUCGCUCCAUUCUCUCUACAUGUCCGAACCACCUCAACAACCCUUCCUCAGCCCUCUGGACAACAGUUUUGGUAAUCCCGCACCUCCUCCUAACUUCCAAACUACGAAUUCUCUGCAUUAUAUUCACACCACACAUUGCCCUCAGACAUGACAUCUCCACUGCCUCCAGCCUUCUCCUCGCUGCAACAUUCAUCACCCAUGCUUCACACCCAUAUAAGAGCGUUGGUAAAACUAUACUCUCAUACAUUCCCCUCUUUGCCUCCAAGGACAAAGUUCUUUGUCUCCACAGACUCCUAAGUGCACCACUCACCCUUUUCCCCUCAUCAAUUCUAUGAUUCACUUCAUCUUUCAUAGACCCAUCUGCUGACACGUCCACUCCCAAAUAUCUGAAUACAUUCACCUCCUUCAUACUCUCUCCUUCCAAUCUGAUAUCCAAUCUUUCAUCACCUAAUCUUUUUGUUAAACUCAUAACCUUACUCUUUCCUGUAUUCACUUUUAAUUUUCUUCUUUUGCAUACCCUACCAAAUUCAUCCACCAAUCUCUGCAACUUCUCUUCAGAAUCUCCCAAGAGCACAGUGUCAUCAGCAAAGAGCAACUGUGACAACUCCCACUUUGAGUGUGAUUCUUUAUCUUUUAACUCCACGCCUCUUGCCAAGACCCUCGCAUUUACUUCUUACAACCCCAUCUAUAAAUAUAUUAAACAACCACGGUGACAUCACACAUCCUUGUCUAAGGCCUACUUUUACUGGGAAAUAAUUUCCCUCUUUCCUACAUACUCUAACUUGAGCCUCACUAUCCUCGUAAAAACUCUUCACUGCUUUCAGUAACCUACCUCCUACACCAUACACCUGCAACAUCUGCCACAUUGCCCCCCUAUCCACCCUGUCAUACGCCUUUUAAAAAUCCAUAAAUGCCACAAAGACCUCUUUAGCCUUAUCUGGUCCACACACCCCCUACCUUUCCUAAAGCCUCCUUGUUCAUCUGCUAUCCUAUUCUCCGUCUUACUCUUAAUUCUUUCACUAAUAACUCUACCAUACACUUUACCAGGUAUACUCAACAGGCUUAUCCCCCUAUAAUUUUUGCACUCUCUUUUGUCCCCUUUGCCUUUAUACAAAGGAACUAUGCAUGCUCUCUGCCAAUCCCUAGGUACCUUACCCUCUUCCAUACAUUUAUUAAAUAAUUGCACCAACCACUCCAAAACUAUAUCCCCACCUGCUUUUAACAUUUCUAUCUUUAUCCCAUCAAUCCCGGCUGCCUUACCCUCUUUCAUUUUACCUACUGCCUCACGAACUUCCCCCACACUCACAACUGGCUCUUCCUCACUCCUACAAGAUGUUAUUCCUCCUUGCCCUAUACACGAAAUCACAGCUUCCUUAUCUUCAUCAACAUUUAACAAUUCCUCAAAAUAUUCCCUCCAUCUUUCCAAUACCUCUAACUCUCCAUUUAAUAACUCUCCUCUCCUAUUUUUAACUGACAGAUCCAUUUCUCUAGGCUUCCUUAACUUGUUAAUCUCACUUCAAAACUUUUUCUUAUUUUCAACAAAAUUUGUUGAUAACAUCUCACCCACUCUCUCAUUUGCUCUCUUUUUACAUUGCUUCACCACUCUCUCAUUCUCCAUAUACUCUUCCCUCCUUGCAUCACUUCUACUUUGUAAAAACUUCUCAUAUGCUAACUUUUUCUCCCUUACUACUCUCUUUACAUCAUCAUUCCACCAGUCGCUCCUCUUCCCUCCCGCACCCACUUUCCUGUAACCACAAACUUCUGCUGAACACUCUAACAUUACAUUUUUAAACCUACCCCAUACCUCUUCGACCCCAUUGCCUAUGCUCUCAUUAGCCCAUCUAUCCUCCAAUAGCUGUUUAUAUCUUACCCCAACUGCCUCCUCUUUUAGUUUAUAAACCUUCACCUCUCUCUUCCCUGAUGCUUCUAUUCUCCUUGUAGCUACAACUAGAAAGUGAUCUGAUAUAUCUGUGGCCCCUCUAUAAACAUGUACAUCCUCAAGUCUACUCAACAGUCUUUUAUCUACCAAUACAUAAUCCAACAAACUACUGUCAUUUUGCCCUACAUCAUAUCUUGUAUACUUAUUUAUCCUCUUUUUCUUAAAAUAUGUAUUACCUAUAACUAAACCCCUUUCUAUACAAAGUUCAAUCAAAGGGCUCCCAUGAUCAUUUACACCUGGCACCCCAAACUUACCUACCACACCCUCUCUAAAAGUUUCUCCUACUUUAGCAUUCAGAUCCCCUACCACAAUUACUCUCUCACUUGGUUCAAAGGCUCCUAUACAUUCACUUAACAUCUCCCAAAAUCUCUCUCUCUCCUCUACAUUCCUCUCUUCUCCAGGUGCAUACACGCUUAUUAUGACCCACUUUUCGCAUCCAACCUUUACUUUAAUCCACAUAAUUCUUGAAUUUACACAUUCAUAUUCUCUUUUCUCCUUCCAUAACUAAUCCUUCAACAUUACUGCUACCCCUUCCUUUGCUCUAACUCUCUCAGAUACUCCAGAUUUAAUUCCAUUUAUUUCCCCCCACCGAAACUCCCCUACCCCCUUCAGCUUUGUUUCGCUUAGGGCGAGGACAUCCAACUUCUUUUCAUUCAUAACAUCAGCAAUCAUCUGUUUCUUGUCUUCUGCACUACAUUCAAGCAUCCCAGUUUUAUAAAGUUUUUCUUCUUCUCUUUUUUAGUAAAUGUCUACAGGAGAAGGGGUUACUAGCCCUUUGCUCCCGGCAUUUUAGUCGCCUCAUACGACACGCAUGGCUUACGGAGGAAAGAUUCUUUUCCACUUCCCCAUGGACAAUAGAAGAAAUAAAGAAGAACAAGAGCUAUUUAGAAAAAGGAGAAAAACCUAGAUGUAUGUAUAUAUAUAUAUGCAUGUGCGUGUCUGUGAAGUGUGACCAAAGUGUAAGUAGGAGUAGCAAGAUAUCCCUGUUAUCUAGCGUGUUUAUGAGACAGAAAAAGAAACCAGCAAUCCUACCAUCAUGCAAAACAGUUACAGGUUUCUGUUUCACAGUCAUCUGGCAGGACGGUAGUACUUCCCUGGGUGGUUGCUGUCUACCAACCUACUACCUGGUAGUUGAUUUUAAUUUAAAUUAAAGUGUAUUUUCACAUGAUUCAGAAUGCCCAUUGCUAUGCAGAUAGUUUUGGGCUUGAUCAAAAACUGGUUUAGUUUUUUUAAUUAGAUAUUUAGCUAGUUUUAUUAUAAUCGAAGAAGUGCCAAACCAAGUAGGGUCAUACAGCGCAUCAGAUAGUUUUAAGAUGCACAUUAAAACAAGGUAAAUAUCGCAUUUGGUUUUUUUUUUAAUCUUGAUAUUACAUAAAUUCUCACUCUUUUAAUGGGGUUUUGUUGUGGACAGUUAUAUUUCUGGCCUAUGGGAUACCAGAUUUUUUUCUUAACAAAACCCAAAGAACUUGAGCAAUCCUGUAUUAGUUAAAUUCUAGGGUAUAGUAAAUUGGCUUUCUUUUUUAUUCGUACCUUGUAGGCCCAAAAUAUAACAGUCUCCAUUGUACAACCUACUUAAUAUUAGAUAAUUUACAUAAAAAAUAGAAUUUAUUAAACUCGGUCUUAGCCUAAAACAGCAUAGUUUGACAAUCAGUAGCAUGGGAUGUGAAACUAAAAGAAUUAGAGAGGACUUUGGAGGCUGUCCUUGAAAUUUAAAUCUUUAUCCUCACUUUCUCUAGCCAUCUUAGAAAUAAUCCCCACUUCUUUUCCUGCUUCCAACUUGUUACCUGUCCCAUCAACAUACUCAACAGGCUUGUGUGUACUCUCCUAUUUGUGGUUGCAGGGGAUGAGUCUUGGCUCCUAGCCACGACUCAUAGCUUGCCAGAUUUACUACUUCCUGCCCUCGUCAGCCUCUCAUCUUACUUAUGGAAUCUUCCUCCACUACUUAGUUUUCCAGGUCAUGUCACUUCCUGACCACUCUGAGGCUGAAGAAUUUCCUGAUAUCCUUGUGACUAACCUUUAGCUUUCAGCAAUGCCUUCGUGUACCAGUUUCUCGUCUCUGUCCCUGUCCACCAUCUAAAGGGUGGGAAGAGAGAGUGAAUUCCAUGGACUUCAUUGGUAACUUAUUUGGAGUCUUUUCUAGUAUCUUUUUUUCUAAAUACUGAUGUUGUCCAUGUAGACCCUUGAAUUGAAUUCUUUCAUGUAAUGAUCUCUUCAUUUCCUCAGUCUGUUUUGCUAUACUUUGGGCAGUGGUGAACGAGCCUUAUGAUAGUGACCACUAUCCUGUUCUUCCUUUCAUUCACACCUGUCCUUAUUGUCCUGCUCAGUGGCAGUUUGAAAGUGCAAAUUGGGCUAGAUAUAAGUUACUUUUCCUUCUCACACCAUGGCUAACCAGUACCAUUCUGAAAUCCAUUGACAAGAAACACCAAUAUGAAAAGCAAUAUAGACAGGGCUUAAUACACAAAGAUAUUCUUAAACACUAUUCAUCAGUUCUCACCAAAGUAAUAAAGAAAGCCAAACAACUAUACUACUCCAGUAGAUUCACAGACACUAGAGGAGAUAUAAAAAAGACCUGGAAAACACUCUUUCAGAUUCUAGGGACCCACAAACUGAAAAAAAAACAAGAAUAUUGUCCUAACUAAACCUAAUGAAACACCACUACAUCCCACUGACACAGCUAACAAGAUAAACGACUUCUUCUCAACCAUAGGAUCUAAUCUCGCCAAUAAAAUCCCACAUACCAAUGCCCAUGCCGGGGACUACCUAGAUGGGAAUUUCCCAAAUUCCUUCUAUCUUGCACCAACUGAGCCCUCAGAAGUCACCGAGAUUAUAAAGUCACUUAAUACAUAAAAGUGGUGACCCUACAGACUUAAACAACUUUCUUUCUUUCUUUCAACACACCGGCCGUAUCCCACCGAGGCGGGGUGGCCCAAAAGGAAAAACGAAAGUUUC